Molecule: long non-coding RNA, 250 nt
Organism: Carlito syrichta (Philippine tarsier)
Lineage: Eukaryota; Metazoa; Chordata; Mammalia; Primates; Tarsiidae
Exons: 2
Source: RefSeq, a predicted model, not a curated record
CAGGUGGCAGUGUAGAAGCCAAAACAGAAGCCUCCAGAAGUGGUUUCUGAAAAAUAAGAGUUGAAUGUACAUGAGUAAGCAAGCACAGGAAUCUGAAAAACCACAGGCCCGCUAAUUUGCCUGCUUGACUAAAAUAAGGAUGAGUUAUAUGCAGAUGAGAGACAAUCAAGUGUGUAAAGUUAUUCACUGUGACACAAUUCGAAAGAAUUUGCCUUUCAUUAUCAUUAAAAUGCAAGGUUUUGCAUAUUAA